This is a long non-coding RNA of Ictalurus furcatus (blue catfish), 444 nucleotides long. RefSeq lists it as uncharacterized. NCBI's taxonomy places the organism in Eukaryota, Metazoa, Chordata, Actinopteri, Siluriformes, Ictaluridae. The transcript has 4 exons. The record is from RefSeq and is a predicted model, not a curated record.
GCUACACAGAUGGAGAAAUUAAUCAUUUAAGGGAAAAACGAGAUGUGAACACGGAUAUACUAGAAUACAUUGUAAUCAUAGAGGUGAAUGUGUCACAAGCGAUUUUGUUUGAGCAAAUCAAAUCAUCAUUGGAGUCCAUCAGUAGUUUCCAAAUAGACAACACCACAGAAAUCGAAAGCGUGAACAUUACAACAGUGUGUCACCCAAAUGGUUCUGAAUAUCAGUGCAUUUGUGAGGAUCAGUAUUUUUGGUCAUUUAAUAACUGCAUUGUGCAUAACGCCUGCAAUGACCUAUAUGAAGGAGUAUGUACCUGUAUCGAUGUCUUUCCCAGUGAUGGACAGAUGUGUGUGACAACAAGUGAACUACGAUUAUUUGAUAUUCUGGUUGAAAUUGAGCUGAAUACCACAAGCACAACAAUGCUCGAUGAACUGAGAAACCGUUUUG